RNAcentral lists this ribosomal RNA (253 nucleotides) under uncultured bacterium. RNAcentral describes it as "partial 16S ribosomal RNA". It matches the Rfam family "Bacterial small subunit ribosomal RNA", at positions 524 to 776 of the family's 1533-position model. The record is from RNAcentral.
UACGGAGGGUGCAAACGUUGCUCGGAAUCAUUGGGCGUAAAGCGCAUGUAGGCGGUCCAGUAUGUCGGGUGUGAAAGCCCUCGGCUUAACCGAGGAAGUGCACUCGAAACUGCUGGGCUUGAGUACUGGAGAGGGUCGCGGAAUUCCCGGUGUAGAGGUGAAAUUCGUAGAUAUCGGGAGGAACACCAGCGGCGAAGGCGGCGACCUGGACAGAUACUGACGCUGAGAUGCGAAAGCGUGGGGAGCAAACAGG